CCUACGGGGGGCUGCAGUCGAGAAUCUUCCGCAAUGGGCGAAAGCCUGACGGAGCGACGCCGCGUGCGGGAUGAAGGCCUUCGGGUUGUAAACCGCUGUCAGAUGGGAGGAAAUUCACGGGGGUAAUUCAUAAUCUCUCGUGAUUGACUGAACGUCAGAGGAAGCACAGGCUAAGUUCGUGCCAGCAGCCGCGGUAACACGAACUGUGCAAACGUUAUUCGGAAUUACUGGGCUUAAAGAGUUCGUAGGCGGCUCUGUAAGUCGGGUGUGAAAUCCCCCAGCUCAACUGGGGAACUGCGCUCGAAACUGUGGGGCUUGAGGGAGAUAGAGGUGAGCGGAACUGAUGGUGGAGCGGUGAAAUGCGUUGAUACUAUCAGGAACACCGGUUGCGAAAGCGGCUCACUGGGUCUUUUCUGACGCUGAGGAACGAAAGCUAGGGGAGCAAACGGGAUUAGAUACCCGUGUAGUC
Molecule: ribosomal RNA, 469 nt
Filed under: uncultured soil bacterium
Lineage: Bacteria
Description: bacterial SSU rRNA
Rfam family: Bacterial small subunit ribosomal RNA
Source: RNAcentral